ACGAUCAUAUCACAUAGAAACACCGGUUCUCCUACUAUCAGCGAAGUUAAGCAACGUCGAGGCUGGUCAAUAUCAGGAUGGCUGACCUUUUGGGAAUAUCAAGUGCUGUAA
Non-coding RNA from Acanthosepion pharaonis, 111 nucleotides. The record is from the annotation of a GenBank genome assembly. NCBI's taxonomy places the organism in Eukaryota, Metazoa, Mollusca, Cephalopoda, Sepiida, Sepiidae.